This 89-nucleotide transfer RNA is filed under the name Acidobacteriota bacterium. Its description in RNAcentral is "tRNA-Leu". It matches the Rfam family "tRNA". From Rfam's summary of the family: Transfer RNA (tRNA) molecules are approximately 80 nucleotides in length. Lineage: Bacteria; Pseudomonadati; Acidobacteriota. The record is from RNAcentral.
GCCGGAGUGGCGAAAUUGGUAGACGCACGGGACUUAAAAUCCCGAGGGCUGAAAGGCCCGUGCCGGUUCGAAUCCGGCCUCCGGCACCA